UGGAGUCAGGACAUAGUCCCCACCUCACAGUGUUUUCAAACUGAGGUCACAAUCCUGAAAACAUUUGGGUGAAUAUUAUAUUUUCAUGUGUGCAAGAGGUUCCCACUUAAACAUCAGCUGGGGAAAAUUUACAGAAAGACCACACCUGCUGAGCUUCAGCCUGCUGGCAGGCACUGUAUAGAGGCCUAAUGGGAAUUAGGCAGGGAAGAAAGGUUGCCUGGAUUUUAAAAGGGUGUGAACCUUCCAAGCUCUCAGGCUGCAGAGAUUUCCACUCUCUUCCAUCAAAGUCUUUGGAUACUUUGCUGCUGGACUAAGAUCUGUGUCUAGCACAUUUCCGGAUAAAGAUCUGCUCCAAGAGGGGUCAUCCAUUCUCUGUUCCUGUCAGAAGAUGCGUCCCAGAUAAAGGAGUUAAUCUGUUCUUCCUGCUGCAUUUAUCUGGCAAGAGAGAGACGAUUAUGCUAAACUGGGGGACCCUGAAGUCAGCACAGUUUACAGCUCCAUCCGCUUUGCUGAGAGAAAAUGGUGGAGGAAUUCAGCUGAUCAUCACAAGCAGAAGAGAACUGCAACCACUAGCAUCUUAGCGGUUACAGCAGCUUUGGGCUCACCACCCUUCUCAGUUUGGUAUGGCUUGAUGGCUCCAUGGUGUCUUCCACAUCUUCCAUGUCUCAAAACAGCACUUGACUAGCUGAGCUGAGCUUGAGCUUGAAACUUGCAACAUAUUCUAAGGCCAGGGAGGACAGAGAGUACUUCUGCGUUCCUUCAAGUUCAGGUUCCUCAGACAAGGGCUCAAGUGGGCCUCAAGUGAGCAGGCGCCUUCCAUCUUCUGCUUGGCCCAAAUGCACUCCAGUAAUUAGGUAGCUCACAACGGUUUUCUGAGUUGGAGUGGACCUACACAAGGAGCAAAUCCUUUAAUUCAGGUCUCUGGAUUCUAUCACAUAGGAAAGCACUUAGACAAAUGAAAGCAUUAGAUCAAGGGAAUGGGGUCAGACCAAGGACCCUCUUAGCCCCAGACACAGUCUCCAAAUGUGAAUAUUGAGCACAUUAAAUAUUUGAAGAGCAGAGACAGUUUCCUGCAGCUCACGAAGGUGAACAAAAGAACACAGAAGAAAUAAGCACUGGUAUUCAACUCAAAUGCUAUUCUGUACCCCUCAAAGAAUUAUACUUUUUGAGGACUCAAGGCAAAGAGCCAACUGCCUGGAGGCAACUCCUCAUGAGUUUAUGACAUAAUAUACAGUAAAGAAAUACAGUCAACUCUUCACAUUUAAAGAAAUAUGACAAAUGUUAACUUCUGUUGGAACUAUAUCUUCAAGAUUCAUAAAACCCCAUCAACUACAGCGCCAUCCGUAGAAAAGUGAUGUGAUCUCUUUUCAGAGUGCCCAGCACUGGUCUUGUUACACAGUUUGUUCCAUUUUUUGAGAAAACUCACUGGGAUCACCUGUCUCAAUUCUCCUAUAUCCAUGGAGUGAGGUGUUUUUAUGACUAAAAUAAGUUGAUUCACAUCUUCCACUGGAAGGAAAACCAUGCUCUCUGCCCCUCUUCUGCUGCUGAUAAAAGUCAAUCUAGGUUAAAACAAACAAUGAAACACAAGUGGCUUGUAUCAAACACUGUAGUGACUUUUGCCGGUAUACUCUCCUGAAUUCUGGCUCAGAAGCCAGCUGAGUUAGAGGCAGUGAAUUUGAUUUAGA
Long non-coding RNA from Numida meleagris (helmeted guineafowl), 1685 nucleotides. The record is from Ensembl. Lineage: Eukaryota; Metazoa; Chordata; Aves; Galliformes; Numididae.